Non-coding RNA from Macaca mulatta (Rhesus monkey), 1534 nucleotides. The record is from RefSeq and is a predicted model, not a curated record. NCBI's taxonomy places the organism in Eukaryota, Metazoa, Chordata, Mammalia, Primates, Cercopithecidae.
CUUGAACUCCUGCCCUCGGCCUCCCAAAGUGCUAGAAUUACAGAUGUGAGUCAGCCACCAUGCCUGGCUGGAAAUCAUUAAAUCAUAUCCCUGAGGCCACUUUAAGUUCAAUCUCCUGUAAAGUGCUAGCUACUCUGAUUAUUUUUCCUGCCAUCAUCUGGUGUUCACAGCCUCAAUGGACAUGCUCCGGAUUCUGUGAUCUAUAUCAGGGAAAACCAGAUCUAGCAGAAACUCUACUGCAAUAUCGACAUUGUCUUGCUUGCUAAUAAGAUUUUAAUUGAUUUUAAUACACCGAGAAACAAAUUCAGAAACAACCCUUUCUGUUCCUGCCAUUUGUAUUUUUAGUGACUAACUGCCAAGUACUGGUUUCCCAAAGUUGCAGAAGAGACGGUCCCUGUUCUCCAAGAUACAGUCUUGUGGAGGAGUCUAGCAAGACACUUGUAAAAGGUUGCCCAAAUUCCAUGUGUGAUGCGUCCAUGAUUACAAUCUGUGGUUACUAUAGUACCCGGCCAGUAAGAGUUACUUGCACAUUUUAGUAUUAUAUGCAGUAACAAUUGCCACCGUGAGAACCGACACAUAGGUCAUGCCUGUCUCACCACAUCAUAAUGUGCCACCAGAAGGUGGCACUGUUGGAACUUGCUGUCUCUUGCUCGCUCGCUGGCUCUCUGUCUCGCAACUUUCUAAAAAAUUAGGCAUCACUACCGUGUCAUGCCAGUCUAAAACAACAGUCCUUCAACAUUGUUCAAAAAAUCUAAGCACACAGCAAUUCCUCAUAGCCAACCACCGGAGCCAGUUGAAGGAGACGCUGUCCUGUUCCUUUGUUUACCGCUGGGAGAGCUGACAAAGCUGAGAUGUCUCCAGGGCCGGGGACCACCUUAAUUAUAAGGACUGCUUGGUUUCUGUACACCCCAGUUAAUUAAUGCAAACGUACAUUUCUCCCAAAUCUUCACUAUUGAUUCUAACCACCAGAAGGAAAGAAAAGAGAAAUGCAGGAAAGGAGCCAGGAUCUUCAGGAUCUGGGGUGAUUUCUCCGAGCAGAUAAGCUGCUUAUUACGAGUCAGAGAAUCAGAUCAGUGGUAGAAGUGGAGUGCCAAUCCUGAGUCUCACCUCUACUCAAGUGCUCAACAUAUCCCUAGAUCCUCAAUUCUCUGGCAAAAGUGACUGGAUGGAACCACAGACUUCCAAGAGGGGACAGUCAAGCAUUAAAUACGAGAAUGCACAUAUAACUCUUGAUGCAAUGUUUAGCACAUACUAAGCCUGCAAUACAUGCUCAUCCCUUUGAACAAAUCCACAUGGCCAGUUUCUGUGCUCAGGGGUGAAAACAGCCGGGCUAUGAUUGGGACAGGGGGAGCAAUAGGUGGGGAGGGGCUUCCUCUCUCCAGGCCUGCCAUCUUGACUGACAUGCUGCAGCCCUUGCCAAAAUCCAUGGGUCAGAAUGAAAGUAAAAUGUCGUUGGAAACCUUGCAAUCCACCAUUAAAACUGCUGGGUGUAGUAAAACAAUUGCUUGCCCCAAAUAAAUGACUUAUCCUUGCU